GGGCAGAUGGCCGAGUGGUCUAAGGCGCUAGUUUUAGGAAAAUCCAUCGGUUCGGAUCUUGAGAUCACUAGUCUUCGGGCGUGGGUUCAAAUCCCACUCUGCUCA
Puccinia graminis f. sp. tritici is the source of this 105-nucleotide transfer RNA. It matches the Rfam family "tRNA". From Rfam's summary of the family: Transfer RNA (tRNA) molecules are approximately 80 nucleotides in length. Their secondary structure includes four short double-helical elements and three loops (D, anti-codon, and T loops). Further hydrogen bonds mediate the characteristic L-shaped molecular structure. tRNAs have two regions of fundamental functional importance: the anti-codon, which is responsible for specific mRNA codon recognition, and the 3' end, to which the tRNAs corresponding amino acid is attached (by aminoacyl-tRNA synthetases). tRNAs cope with the degeneracy of the genetic code in two manners: having more than one tRNA (with a specific anti-codon) for a particular amino acid; and 'wobble' base-pairing, i.e. permitting non-standard base-pairing at the 3rd anti-codon position. The record is from Rfam. NCBI's taxonomy places the organism in Eukaryota, Fungi, Basidiomycota, Pucciniomycetes, Pucciniales, Pucciniaceae.